GAGAAAAAGAAAAUAAAAGUUUAAUCAACCAUUUAUAGAGAAAAUUUAGGUCGUGAACUCAGGGUUUGAUUGAUUUUGUGCUGAAACAACAACAUUGUUCUAUGUGUGCGCAUGUGUGUCGUUACGUUGGUCAACAGCUAGCUAACUUGGCCGAGUUUGCAUAUUGUGGGCUUUCUUGCUGUUGUGCUUAACAGGUUGAUUAUCAGUGGUUCUGAAACUCACAUUUUAGGUGCUGUUAUGUAUGCAGGGCCGAGUUCUACAGGCUUUAGAGACUGCAGUUGUUUUCACCUUUGGUGGUUUGGUCAAAGAUAAGGACUCUUUCUGCCAGCUAUUGUGAGACCUAUUCUACAUUCACUAGAGGCAUUUAAGCAAGUCAAAGCGCUUCCCCUUACAGAUGUAGCAACUAGCAUCCAUAAGAAGUCAUCCACCAGGUUCUUCAAACAGUGGAGAUCAAUUUCAGAAGGCUACCUUGAUCUUAUGUGAUGAUCUAUAUGAAAUGUCUUGGGUGAUUUUGAGUCUGUUUCUUUAAGCUGAUACUAUGUUUAUAAGUCUGUUUCUUUGAGCUGAUACUAUGUUUCUGAGUAUGUUUUUUUUAAGAUGAUACU
Molecule: long non-coding RNA, 605 nt
Organism: Brassica napus (rape)
Lineage: Eukaryota; Viridiplantae; Streptophyta; Magnoliopsida; Brassicales; Brassicaceae
Exons: 3
Source: RefSeq, a predicted model, not a curated record